UCGAGUUCUGGGUUCCGCCCGUCGGGCCCGUCCUCCAACCCUUUGCUUACCGACCUCUGUUGCUUCGGCGUGGCCGCGCGGGGCCUUAGCUCCGCGCCUAGUGCGCCCGCCGGAGGCCAGUCAAACUCUUGUUUUAACGUCGAGUCUGAGUUAUUUAUUCAAUAAAUCA
Molecule: unclassified non-coding RNA, 169 nt
Filed under: uncultured Ascomycota
Lineage: Eukaryota; Fungi; Ascomycota
Description: sequence contains ITS1
Source: RNAcentral